This 1860-nucleotide long non-coding RNA is filed under the name Megachile rotundata (alfalfa leafcutting bee). RNAcentral describes it as "uncharacterized LOC105662918, transcript variant X2". Lineage: Eukaryota; Metazoa; Arthropoda; Insecta; Hymenoptera; Megachilidae. The record is from RNAcentral.
CACACAGCCACAGUGUACACUUGUAGUCGGGAUCGUAAUAUAGUUAUGCCUCUUUAGGUGGCAACUUUUCUAUCUCUCUAACGCUUAAUUGGCAAUGCUUAAACGUCCAGACCGGAAGCAAGUUCGCGAAGCAAGUUCGAUCACAAUUUGCCGCAGUUAACCGACCAAAGAACGAACGAACAGUUAAUUAAUUUAAGAGAUUAUCUAUAUCUAUAUACACACAGUCACACGUAUAAAUAUAUACAUAUAUUAUCUAUAUACAAUGUGCUCGUUUAUGACCGUUUUAAUAAUAACAAUGAUUAUUCAUAUCCGAGAGCAAAUGACCAAUCAUGAUGUAACAUUAUACAUGGGUGUUUUUUCCUUUGCCUAAAAAACACGUGUUCUUCGUAUGAACCCUUCAAUUUCUUUCCCCAUAAAACUUCAAGUAUCUUUGGCGCUGAUUUUGAGAGAUAUAUCGGGUGUGUCGAAAGUUUUUGAUAUCGUGUGCGAAUAGUAUCGUUAUUUAGGCUGUUUAUAUAAUUUAUGGGGUUUUAUGGUUAUAUGGGAAUUAUGGUGAUAUGAUGCUUUCAUGGUUAUAUAGGAUUUCUGAGGUUAUACGGAAUUUUUAUUUAUUUGGGGGUUCUAUGAUUACAUGGGGUUUUAUGGUUAUAUGGGAAUUAUGGUGAUAUGAUGCUUUCAUGGUUAUAUGGGAUUUCUGCGGUUAUACGGAAUUUUUAUUUAUUUGGGGCUUCUAUGAUUAUUUGGAAUUUUUAUGGUUAUGUAGGGUUUCUUAUGGUUAGAUGGGUUUUCUUAUGGUGUUAUGGGAUUUCUUAUGGUUUUAUGGGGUUUCAUGGUUAUAUGGUGUUUUUUAAGGUUACAUGCACCUGUUAUGGUUACAUAAGAUUUUCAUGAGUAAUAUGGGAGUUUUAUGAUCCUAUGGGGUUUUUAUGGUGUUAUGGGGUUUUAUGAUUACAUGAGAUUUUCAUUGUGAUUUGUGAGUUUUAUGGUUACACCGAAGUUUUGGGCUAUACGGGCUUCGUAUGAUCCUAUGGGGUUCUUAUGGUGUUAUGGGGUUUUAUGGUUACAUGAGAUUUCCGUGAUAAUACCGAAUUUUUAAGAUUAUAUGGGGAUUUUGGCUAUAUGGGGUUUAUUUUAUCCUAUGGGGUUUUUAUGGGGUUAUGGGGUUUUAUGGUGUUAUGGGGUUUUAUGGUUACAUGACAUUUUCAUUGUAAUUUGUGACUUUUAUGGUUUUAUCGGAAUUUUAGGCUCUAUGGGGUUGAUAUGAUCCUAUGGGGUUUUUAUGGGGUUAUCAGGUUUUAUGGUGUUAUGGGGUUUUAUGGUUACGUGAGAUUCUCAUUGUAAUUUGUGACUUUUAUGGUUUUAUCAGAGUUUUGGGUUCUAUGGGGUUCAUAUGAUCCUACGGGGUUUUUAUGGUGUUAUGGGGUUUGUGGUUACGAGACAUUUCCGUGCUAGCAUGGGACUUUUAUGAUUAUAUCAAGGUUUUGUGGCUAUAUGGGGUUCAUAUGAUCCUAUGGGGUUUUCAUGGUGUUAUGGGGUUUGUGGUUAAAUCUAAACCUUGUACUCAUAUGGGAUUUUAAUAGUUACUAGAAAUUUACAUGGUAUACGAAAUUUUUGACCUCCUACGGGUUUAUCAAAUUCAUAUGGAACUCUUAUGGUCAUAUGGGGUAUUCAUGGUUAUACGAAACUAUUAUGGUUAUAUAAAAUUUCCACGGUUAAAUGGGAAUGAAUAACCAUGAAAAAUUUGUGAUUCUUUCAAACAAUAUUUGAUAAUUGUAGUAACGGUUGAAAAAUCUAUGGUGUAAGUGUUUUCAAUGGAAUCCGAAAAAAAAGUUUUGAAAUAAAUGUUGUGAUAUAAUCAUA